AAUUGGGAGUUGGGGAUUGACAUGUACACACUGCUGUGUGUGGAAUGGAUAACUAAUGAGGACCUACUGUAGAGCACAGGGAAAUCUACUCAGUGAUUUGUGAUAACCUAUAUGGGAAAAGAAUCUGAAGGGAAAAAUACAUAUGUGUGGCUGAUUCACUUUGCUGGUUUGAUUAUCUACAGUUUCCCAAUAGUAAAUCCUCCUGCCUGUUUCCUUCUCGCUUCUUUUAUCUUCUUUCUUCCCACCACAUUCAUUUAUCUUUUAAAAGAUUUUAAAAAAACUAUUUUUUUCUGUAGGUUUCUCAUAUGUAAAAUAAAUAAUAGUUUUCCUUCAAAAAUUUUUAAAGUUUGGCUUUGAUAUGUGUUUAAGUGGAAGCAUAAUCUAUAUUUUGAAAUAAGCAUUUGGUUCUUUUGAAUAAUCCCUUCUGUCAAAUGGAAGUUCUUUCUGCACUGUGUCAGAUAAUUAGAUCAUCAUGAUUUGACUCUUUAGUAACUCCUCAGAUACUUGUUUUUCUAACAUGCAUCUCAGGAUGCUCACAUUAACUGUUCCUUCUUUGUUGAUGACUGUGGAGUGACAACCUGAACAUUUUAUAGCAUGUAUGUACUUAUUUUACUAUUCUAUACCUCUCUAAGGAAAAGGCAUGCUGAUACUUAACAUAUGAGAAAAUGGAGUCUGAGGACCUUGCCUAAAGUCUGUGAAAUGAUGGUACUGUGAGAGUCUAGCCCAAACCUCUUGUGCAUUAUUCUUGUUAGUCAGCAGGCUCUUUGUGCCCAAACCACUACCAGCAAUGCCAGAUGUGUUCACAGCAGCUGUGAAGGAUAAGAAGGGAGAGAAUCAAUGCAGGAGCUUGACGUUGUCAAGAUGCUAUGAGAGGCAGCGGCUGUAGAUGGCUUGUUCCUGCCUAAAAAGCCAUUCACAAAUACAGAAACUCAUCCCUUCCCACAUGAGAAAGAACUUAAAAAUAUGCAGUCAUAGGUUUUUCAGGAAUGGUAAAUUUCAGGAAUGAGGAGUAAACAUUCAAAAAUUUUUAUUUUAAAGUUAUGGGAAAGAAGCUUUAUGACAUAUUAUUUACUUAUUUAUUUUCCUAAGAGUAAUAAAACAUGGUGCUGUUGAGUUACAGAUAGGACCGUGCAAAGACCUUUAGGUAGUAGGUGUUGUGGUCUUGAUUUGAUAUUGUUUAUAUAUUCAAUAUAUUUUACACAUGGGAGCUGCCUUUUUUUUUUUUUUUUUUUUUUCUUUUUUCUUUCCUUUUUUUUAGGGCUGCACCUGUGGCAUAUGGAAGUUCCUAGGCUAGGGAUAGAAUCAGAGCUGUACCUCCCAGCCUACGCCACAGCCACAAUAAUGUGGGAUCCGAGCCUCUUCUGGGACCUACACCACACCUCAAGACAAUGCCAGAUCCUUAAUCCACUGAGAGGCCAGGGAUCAGACCUGCAUACUCAUGGUUCCUAGUUGGGUUUAUUACUGCUGAGCCACAACGGGAACUCUGGAUUUGUCUUUUCAUGGUUGAUAAUUCAUGUCCUUGGAUGAGUGAAAUUGCUUAGAACUGGGACUCCUCUACAGGGAGUAGUCGUUAUUCUAGUUUUGACUUUAUAGAACUGUCAGUGAGUAUAGGUUUGCUCUGUUAGGUGUUUAGCUUAAGAGCAGUAGAACACAUGCCUCACCCUCCAUAGAGCCCUGAAUGAAACUGCUGCUUGGGUUUCUAUUGGAUGCAUGGCUGCUUUUCCUGUUUCUUUAAGAAGUAUAGAGGCUUCAUGAGUAAGAAUGCUGCUAAUGACUUAUGCUGCCAUUUUUUUUGGAAUGAUUUUUAUUGUCAAGGAAAUUUAUUUUAAAUUUAUACAAAUUUUACAUUUUUUACUUAAUAGAUUCCUUAUUAAAGUGAUAUUUCUACAUUGUACAGUCUCAAAUUUAUAUUGCAGUUACUAAGCACAUAGAAUUUUCUUUUCUGAUGGCAAAUCUCUCUCUGUGAAACAUAGGCACUUAUCAUAAUGUCCUUUUAAAAAAAAACAUAUAUAUGGCCAUACCCACAGCAUAUGGAAAUUUCUGGGCCAGGGAUGGAAUCCAGGCCACAGCUACAGCAGUGGCAGAACCUUUGCCCCACUGUGCCAGGCCGGGAUCAAACACCUGCCUCCACAGUAACCUGAGUUGCUUUGGUCUGAUUCUUAACCCACUGUGCCACAGCGGGAACUCCAUGAUGUCCAUUUUUGGAAUGCUGUGGAGGUCCCUCAGACAGUCCACUGCUUACCUUCCAGCAUCCCCCACCACCUUGGUUCAACCUGUGACCCAGAAGCUCUCCUGCCUCCAGUCAGGCCACAUUUUAGCCAGAGAGAUUCAAAACCAAAUAUAUCCUUGACACGUCUGUGCUUACAACCUUUCAAUGGCUUCUGGUUGCAAAGACAGAAAUCCUAAAUCAUGAGCUACAAGGGCCUGCCUGAUCUGACCAUCACCUCUCCACCCUGAUUAAGCACCAGUUUUCUGCUCACACUUUGCUCUGGAUAUCCAUCUGUCUUACAAAUAAUAGGCAUUGAAUCGAUUACCUGCCAGGUUCUGUGCUAAGUUCUGAGUGUAGAGAGGCGAAUGGAGUACUCACUCCCUGCCCUGAUGGGUGGGGUAGAGGGAGACCACGUUUUCUGCAGCCCGUAGGAGGGUUCACAGUGCUCACUCUUACUAGCUGAGACAGUGCCAAGUGAGAAAGUUACCAUUGUUUGCAUGUCAAGGGCAGAUGAGGGUUUUACAGGUAAAGCCUUGAGGAUAAAGAGUACUUCUUGUGUUUUCCUGAAGUUAGGAUCUUGGAAUUUCUCCAGCUGGAAUAAAUAGUUUCUGUUGAACAAGUAAGAUUGUAUAAUAUGAUUUACAGCAUUAGCUUAUCAAAGACCCUAUCUCUGGCUUUUCAGAAGGGAGUGGUCAUGGGGUACCUCUCUGAGGAGGGGAACUUAAACUGAGAAGUGGAGGGUGAGAAGAAACCAGCCCUUUGUGACGGUGCCAGCAGAACACACAGAUGUGGGACUCUGGAGCCAAGCCCUUGUGGCUGGAUUGUAUGACCACCCUCCCAUCACUCUGGGGACAUGUCUCUCUUACUCAUCCUUUAGUUCUUAAUUCAAAUGUUACUUCUUGGAAGCCCCUUCUCUGACCUGCUAGAUUGGAUGAGGUUCCUGUUUAAUGUAUUUAUUGUGGUUUGCCGUUGUGUAUUUUGUGGUAUUUGAUUAAAAGUUAUCUCCUUCAUUGGUCUCUGAAUUCCUGAAGGUAAGGAUAAAGUGUCUCUUUGCUUACUUUUGGGGAUGAUGAUGAAGAUAAGUAACAUAUAAAUAUAUAUAGCACUUAACCAUUUAGCUUAACCCUAUUAAAAAAAAUCUAUAGAGUAGGCUCUAUUAUACCUAUUUUACUGAUGAGGAAACUAAGGCACAGAGGGGUUAAAUGUCUUACCUGAAGUAACAAAGCUAUUACAUGAAAUACGUCAGACAGAGAAAAACAAAUAUUGUAUUGGUAUCACUUACAUGUAGACUCUAAAAAACAAAACAAACAAAUGAAUAUAUCAAGAAAGAAGCAGACUUACAGAUAUAGCGAAUAAACUAGUGGUUACCAAAGGGGAGAGAGGGAAGGAGGGAGGGCAAGAUAGGGGAAGGGGAUUAAGAGGUACAAAUUCCUACGUAGAAAAUAAUUACAAGUGUGUAUACUACAAAAUAGGGAAUAUAGCCAAUAUUUUAUAUUAACUGUAAAUUAAAUAUAAUAUUUAAAAAUUAUGAAUCACUAUGCUGUACACCGGAAACUUAUUUAAUAUUGUUCAUCAACUGUACCUCAAUAAAAAUAAAACAAAAUGUAAAACAAAGUAACAUCCCCAAAAGUAAGCAAAGAGACACUUUAUCCUUAAUGGUAAUGGUAGAGACAGAAUUUGAUGUUGACAAUCCAUCCUUUGGAGGCUGGAAGAUCAAUCACUUAGCAUUUUAUUUAUUCAGUCAUGGAGCGGAGUAGAAGGUCCAGUAAUAAGUGGUACAGGUAUCCUGUGGUAAUUUGGUGAUACAGGCAGCAUUUUAAAUCAGUAGCAAAAAAGAUGGGUUAUUCAGAAAAUGAUGUUUGGAUAGUUAUCCAUUUGGAAAAUUGGAUCCUUUUGUCACACCUUAUGCUGAAAUAGAUUUUAGAUGACUAGGGUCUAUAAAG
Molecule: long non-coding RNA, 4152 nt
Filed under: Sus scrofa (pig)
Lineage: Eukaryota; Metazoa; Chordata; Mammalia; Artiodactyla; Suidae
Description: lncRNA (ENSSSCG00005012806.1)
Source: RNAcentral